GUUAGGAAUAUUGGACAAUGGGCGCAAGCCUGAUCCAGCCAUGCCGCGUGAGUGAUGAAGGCCUUCGGGUUGUAAAGCUCUUUAGCCGAUGAUUAUAAUGACUGUAGUCGGAAAAUAAGCCCCGGCUAACUUCGUGCCAGCAGCCGCGGUAAUACGAAGGGGGCGAGCGUUAUUCGGAAUCACUGGGCGUAAAGCGUGCGUAGGCGGCUUUGCAAGUUGGGAGUGAAAGCCCAGGGCUCAACCCUGGAAUUGCUCUCAAAACUGCAAGGCUCGAAUUCGGGAGCGGAUAGCGGAAUUGUCAGUGUAGCAGUGAAAUGCGUAGAUAUUGACAGGAACACCAGUGGCGUAAGCGGCUAUCUGGACCGAUAUUGACGCUGAGGCACGAAAGCGUGGGGAUCAAACAGGAUUAGAAGCCCCGGUAGUCC
RNAcentral lists this ribosomal RNA (425 nucleotides) under uncultured bacterium. RNAcentral's name for it is "partial 16S ribosomal RNA". It matches the Rfam family "Bacterial small subunit ribosomal RNA", at positions 354 to 796 of the family's 1533-position model. The record is from RNAcentral.